GCCUUCGUGGUGUAGUGGUCAGCACGCUCGACGCGUAAUCGAGAGGUCCGUGGUUCGAGUCCCAGCAAGAGCA
This 73-nucleotide transfer RNA is filed under the name Stegodyphus mimosarum. It matches the Rfam family "tRNA". Rfam says of the family: Transfer RNA (tRNA) molecules are approximately 80 nucleotides in length. Their secondary structure includes four short double-helical elements and three loops (D, anti-codon, and T loops). Lineage: Eukaryota; Metazoa; Arthropoda; Arachnida; Araneae; Eresidae. The record is from Rfam by way of RNAcentral.